Molecule: non-coding RNA, 92 nt
Organism: Mycena maculata
Lineage: Eukaryota; Fungi; Basidiomycota; Agaricomycetes; Agaricales; Mycenaceae
Source: the annotation of a GenBank genome assembly
GGCUUGGUGGUGUAGUGGUAGCACAACUGCUCAAAUUAAUCUUGAUGUAAUCGGAUAGCAGAGUGUCCCCCGUUCGAACCGGGGUCAGGCCA